RNAcentral lists this ribosomal RNA (159 nucleotides) under uncultured bacterium. RNAcentral describes it as "partial 16S ribosomal RNA". It matches the Rfam family "Bacterial small subunit ribosomal RNA", at positions 355 to 509 of the family's 1533-position model. The record is from RNAcentral.
UGAGGAAUAUUGGUCAAUGGGCGCGAGCCUGAACCAAGCCAAGUCGCGUGAGGGAUGACGGCCCUACGGGUUGUAAACCUCUUUUGUCGGGGAGCAAAUUCCGUUACGUGUAACGGAGUCGAGAGUACCCGAAGAAAAAGCAUCGGCUAACUCCGUGCC